RNAcentral lists this ribosomal RNA (258 nucleotides) under uncultured bacterium. Its description in RNAcentral is "partial 16S ribosomal RNA". It matches the Rfam family "Bacterial small subunit ribosomal RNA", at positions 524 to 776 of the family's 1533-position model. The record is from RNAcentral.
UACGUAGGGUGCGAGCGUUAAUCGGAAUACUGGGCGUAAAGCGUGCGCAGGCGGUUUUUUUAAGACAGGCGUGAAAUCCCCGGGCUUAACCUGGGAACUGCGCUUGUGACUGGAAGGCUAGAGUACGGCAGAGGGGGGUGGAAGUUCCACGUGUAGCAGUGAAAUGCGUAGAGAUGUGGAGGAACACCGAUGGCGAAGGCAGCCCCCCUGGGCCGAUGACUGACGCUCGAUGCACGAAAGCGUCGGGGAGCAAACAGG